UACGAACGCUGGCGGCGUGCUUAACACAUGCAAGUCGAACGGAAAGGCCCUGCUUUUGUGGGGUGCUCGAGUGGCGAACGGGUGAGUAACACGUGAGUAACCUGCCCUUGACUUUGGGAUAACUUCAGGGAACUGGGGCUAAUACCGGAUAGGAGCUCCUGCUGCAUGGUGGGGGUUGGAAAGUUUCGGCGGUUGGGGCUGGACUCGCGGGUUAUCAGCGUGUUGGUGGGGUAGUGGCUUACGAAGGCUUAGACGGGUAGCCUGCCUGGGGGGGUGACCGGCCACAUUGGGACUGAGAUACGGCCCAGACUCCUACGGGAGGCAGCAGUCGGAAAUAUUGCACAAUGAGCGGAAGCCGGAUGCAGCAGCGCCGCGAGCGGGAUGACCUCCUUCGGGGUGAAAACAACUUUCGCCUGAGCCGAAGCGUGCGUGACGGUAAUGGGUAAAGAAGCACCGGCUAACUACGUG
Molecule: ribosomal RNA, 468 nt
Filed under: uncultured bacterium
Lineage: Bacteria
Description: partial 16S ribosomal RNA
Rfam family: Bacterial small subunit ribosomal RNA
Source: RNAcentral